CUGGUUUCCGGCCGCCUCGUUGCCGGGAUUUGGGGUGAGGGGCCCGCGCGCUCCGCCUGGUUCCGCUUCCGUCCCCUUGAGUUUGUCAUCAGCAUCAGUGAUGUGAGCAGUUUGGAAAUGGAUGAGAUUGCUGAUCCUGUGAGGAUGGAAGCUGGUGAUGCAACGUUGGCUAAUCACAACUCGAUAUUCAAGGCCUUUCCUCUACAACAGACUGCUAUUCCAGGGGAUCAGCUUUCACUGUCUGGUGACAAGUUUUUACCAAUCAAGUUUGGCAGUUUGGAGAGAUCUUUUACAUGCUCCACGGGAAGUGCAUCAUGCAGUCCAAGUUACUACUCAGAAAUUCCAUCCUCUGAGAGUUACCGGGUGUCGGGAGAAUUGAGAACGUUUGGACCAAGUGCCAACGGACAGGGGAGGGGUUUGGUACCCACUCUGGGUUCUAUGUUACAGAAACCUAGAGUGAGUCGAAACUUGUAUCUCGACACUCGCAAAACUCCAAGUGGAACGUCAAAUAGUUUUGUAGGGAAGUCAAACCAUCAUUGUCACGUAUCUGCAUACGAAAAAACAUUUCCAAUCAAGCCCGUUACAAGUCCCUCAUGCCGUCGCAGCCUGCUAAGCCCCAAGAAAACCCAGAGGAGAUUCGUCAGCACUGCAGAAGAGACAGUUCGAGAGGAAGAGCGAGAGAUCUACAGGCAGCUGCUUCAGAUGGUCACAGGAAAACAGUUCUCAACAUCCAAGCCGGCCUCGCUUUUCCCCCUCCACCUGCCCAGAUGUUUGAGUUCCAGUAAAAACGUAGUGAAAGAAACCCCAUGCAAGAAUGCAAAACCAUUUGAAACGUACAGCCUCGCUCCAGUCAGCCAGUCAGCUAGUGUUCUGGGAACACAGGAGCAGCCGUCACACAAGCCACCACCGUACCCUGUAUCCAGUUAUCCCUCAAAUGUUACUUUUGAGUCCGAUAAUACCACCACUCAGCAUCAGCAAGAUAAUCUACCAGCAUCCAACGCCCAGCCUGAAGGAUCAGACUCGGUCAUUGUGCUCAAGGUAAAAGAUUCCAGAACUCCGGCUCCAAGCCUCCCUUUCUUCCAGGCAGAAUUGUGGAUCAAAGAAUUAACCAGCGUCUAUGAUUCACGAGCCCGCGAAAGAUUGCGUCAAAUAGAGGAGCAGAAAGCUUUGGCAUUGCAACUGCAGAGCCAGAGAUUGCAGGAGCAGGAACACUUGAUACAGGACCCAGUGGAUUUGAAUCUUCGAGUGCCUCUUGAGAAGGAGAUCCCAGUCACAGUUCUCCCAGAAGAGAAAGAGAAUGCUAAAUCAUCUGAUAACGAAGAGGAAUUCCCUGAAAUCACAGAGGAAAUGGAGAAGGAAAUCAAGAGCGUAUUCCGCAGUGGAAACCAGGAUGAGAUCCUGAGUGAAGCUUUUCGGUUAACGAUAACCCGGAAAGACAUUCAGACCCUGAACAACCUGAACUGGCUUAACGAUGAGAUAAUUAAUUUCUACAUGAAUUUGCUGAUGGAGCGAAGCAAAGAGAAGGGGUUGCCGACAGUUCAUGCGUUUAAUACCUUCUUUUUUACUAAAUUAAAAACUGCUGGGUACCAAGCAGUGAAACGGUGGACAAAAAAAGUAGAUGUUUUCUCUGUGGAUGUUCUCUUGGUGCCUAUUCAUCUUGGAGUCCAUUGGUGCCUAGCCGUUAUAGACUUCAGGAAGAAAACCAUCACCUAUUACGAUUCCAUGGGCGGACUAAACAAUGAAGCCUGCAGGAUACUGUUCCUCUACGUGACACUGGCUUCUGCCACAUCUGGGCCUAAGGAAAUAAACACACGGAGUUGUGACAUCUGUAUACUGAAGACAUUGUAGCCCCCUGCCUCGCUAUCUUCUCUAAGAACCACUCGUGUUGAACAGAAAGGAGGCUUUUUUGGUUGAAUGCACUGGGAGGAUCACACCGGGAAGAGGGGACGGAGGUCCUAUUCAUGGCAAUACUUAAAACAGGAAAGUCUUGACAAAAAACGGAAAGAAUUUG
This is an RNA transcript of Trachemys scripta elegans, 2011 nucleotides long. It is a transcript of the gene named SUMO specific peptidase 1, with no coding region annotated. Lineage: Eukaryota; Metazoa; Chordata; Testudines; Emydidae. The record is from RefSeq and is a predicted model, not a curated record. The transcript is spliced from 18 exons.